CAAUUUCAGUGAUGACCAGGGUGCGGCUGGUCUCUCUCUACCCCGCUCCCUCCACGUGCUACAGAGCGAUCCCCACAGGUCACCUCACUUCCCUGUAGACGCUGCUGGACGGAGCCUUUGAAGACCGUUAUCGCCCAAACUCUCGGUAACCUUGACGUUGGACACACAGUCAGCGUCCAGAACUCCCGUGGUCUCGGCCCUCACGAGGUUUGGAAGUGUCUGGCCGCCACCCUCCCCUGGGGGGUGACGACGUCGCUCCCUCCUCCCGCCAUCCCCCUCCCUGACAACGUGAGGGCGCGUCUCCAGUCCCCUCUCACAGGACCUCAGACAGGGACGCAGGCCGGCACCCUGACGCGGCCUCCCCCGCUGCCUUUGUGCUUCAUUGAGAGAAUUCACCCACCGUGAAACCCACUCUUCCGAGUGCACAGCUCGAUGGUCCUCAGCACAUUCGCGGAGCUGCACCCAUCACCCCUGUCAGAUUUUAGCGCGUUUUCAUCACCCAGAAGGGACGCCCUGCUCCGCCGGCUGCCCUUCGCCCUGCAGGCUCUCCCGGGCCACACACUCCACAGCGCUGCGGCCCGCGGUACACGGUGGCGGGGGGGCCUUUCCUGCCGAGCCACGUCUGGGUUCACCCGCGUCGCUGCACCUGUCAGCGCCUCAUUUCUUUGCUGAUACUUUUCCAUGGGGUUUGUGGAUCUUGCUUUGUUUAUCUGUCUACGGGUGGACACUGGGUUGUUCCUACUUUUCAGCGAUUACAAAUAAGGCCAUGUACAGGUUUUUGUAUGGACGUGUUUUCAUCUCUCUCGGGAUGACGCCCAGGGGUGGACUGCCGGGUCGAGUGUAACUCUGGGUUUAGUAUCCGAGGAACCGGCAGUUCUGUGCGGCACCACGCCGUCCGACAGCCCACCGCAGGGACCCGCGGCCCUCCAGCCCUCCCUCGCCGGCGCCGCGCACGGCCGUCCCUGGCUUCGGCCAUCGGAGUGGCGGACAGCCACGUGCGCCCCGCUC
This is a long non-coding RNA of Suricata suricatta (meerkat), 1008 nucleotides long. RefSeq lists it as uncharacterized. The transcript is spliced from 3 exons. NCBI's taxonomy places the organism in Eukaryota, Metazoa, Chordata, Mammalia, Carnivora, Herpestidae. The record is from RefSeq and is a predicted model, not a curated record.